AGAAACCAACAGGGAUUGCCUCAGUAACGGCGAGUGAAGCGGCAACAGCUCAAAUUUGAAAUCUGGCCUCUUUGGGGUCCGAGUUGUAAUUUGUAGAGGAUGUUUCGGGUACCGCCUCGGUUUAAAUUUCUUGGAACAGAAUGUCAAAGAGGGUGAGAAUCCCGUCUUGGACCGGCGGUAGGGCCCAUGUGAAACUCCUUCGACGAGUCGAGUUGUUUGGGAAUGCAGCUCAAAAUGGGUGGUAAAUUUCAUCUAAAGCUAAAUAUUGGCCAGAGACCGAUAGCGCACAAGUAGAGUGAUCGAAAGAUGAAAAGCACUUUGAAAAGAGAGUUAAACAGUAUGUGAAAUUGUUGAAAGGGAAGCGCUUACAACCAGACUUGCGCGCGGCGGUUCCCCCUUCCUUUUGGUUGGGCUACUCCGUCGUGUCCAGGCCAACAUCGGUUCUGGGGGUCGGUUAAAGACCUUGGGAAUGUAUCUACCCUUCGGGCGUAGACUUAUAGCCCAGGGUGUCAUGCGACCUCCCGGGACCGAGGAACGCGCUUCGGCUCGGAUGUUGGCGUAAUG
Molecule: ribosomal RNA, 564 nt
Filed under: Exophiala aquamarina
Lineage: Eukaryota; Fungi; Ascomycota; Eurotiomycetes; Chaetothyriales; Herpotrichiellaceae
Description: eukaryotic LSU rRNA
Rfam family: Eukaryotic large subunit ribosomal RNA
Source: RNAcentral